UACAGAGGGUGCAAGCGUCAAUCGGAAUUAUUGGGCGUAAAGCGCACGUAGGUGGGCUGAUAAGUUGGAUGUGAAAGCCCUGGGCUCAACCUGGGAAUUGCAUUCAAGACUGUCAGUCUAGAGUAUGGGAGAGGGAAGUGGAAUUUCUGGUGUAGCGGUGAAAUGCGUAGAUAUCAGAAGGAACAUCAGUGGCGAAGGCGACUUCCUGGCCUAAUACUGACACUAAGGUGCGAAAGCGUGGGGAGCAAACAGG
This 253-nucleotide ribosomal RNA is filed under the name uncultured bacterium. RNAcentral's name for it is "partial 16S ribosomal RNA". It matches the Rfam family "Bacterial small subunit ribosomal RNA", at positions 524 to 776 of the family's 1533-position model. The record is from RNAcentral.